CAGCCGCCGCGGUAAUACAGAGGGUGCAAGCGUUAAUCGGAAUUACUGGGCGUAAAGCGCGCGUAGGUGGUUUGUUAAGUUGGAUGUGAAAUCCCCGGGCUCAACCUGGGAACUGCAUCCAAAACUGGCAGGCUAGAGUAGGGCAGAGGGUGGUGGAAUUUCCUGUGUAGCGGUGAAAUGCGUAGAUAUAGGAAGGAACACCAGUGGCGAAGGCGACCACCUGGGCUCAUACUGACACUGAGGUGCGAAAGCGUGGGGAGCAAACAGGAUUAGAUACCCCAGUAGUCCCUGUCUCUUAUAC
Molecule: ribosomal RNA, 301 nt
Filed under: uncultured bacterium
Lineage: Bacteria
Description: partial 16S ribosomal RNA
Rfam family: Bacterial small subunit ribosomal RNA
Source: RNAcentral